UAGAAACCCAGUUUCUAAAAAAAAAACAAAGAAAAAUCCUCUGAAGAGGAUCCCUGGUCCUCUGAGCUCCGGCGUUUAGCCGAUCAGCUCUGGUCAUCGGACCUCCGCGCUGAGAUCCACGCGCCGCCACCGACUCCGCCACCACGAUGGUCGGAACUUGAAAAGUUUCGCUUUUCAAGGUGACUCUCCAGGUAUACUCUCUCUAUCUAUUUAAUAUAUUAUAUGCAUAAACUCAUGAUCAAGAGAAUAAAACGGAAAUAAAAAUAUGUCACCUUUGUCUUCUGUAAAAGAUCUCUGGUAUAUUAUUGCAAAAAAAAACUCUAUGUACAAUAUUUUUGGUCUCUACCUCGUGUGUGUUUUUACAGAUUAAAAAGAAGGCUUUAUAGCCUCUACUACUACAAGUUUUGGAAAGAAAUCUUUGAUUUCUUUCCGUAUUUGCUUCGCAUGUCUGCUGUGAUUUUCUUUCCUUUUCUUGCAAGUACUUGCGAAAAAUCCAGCAAUGGCAAAGGCUUGACGAUGGUCCACUGGUGGCGUUGAUCUCGGCGUGACUUGGGGCCUGGAAUCAUGACCUUGACGGGGUAGCUGGAAUAGCAGGAGCUGAAGAGUCAUGAGGCUUGGCUUCUGGAACCUUCUGUUUGCAGCGCAAGGAGAAAGGCAGAAACCCUAGGGUUUCAUGCCUUGGUGUAACAAGCUGGGCCACUUGGGCCCGUUUUGUCCUGGGUCCACUUGGGUCUGUUGUAAUGGGUCUUAGUUUUAGUGUAUCUGGGUAGGAUGUAAUAGUGGGCCUGCUGGUUAUUGUAACUGGGUAAGGUCUCUUGUAUUUGGGCCUGCCGUUUAGGCUUUUGUAUUUGGGUAAAGGACUGUUAAGAGACUUUAUAUUUUGAAAUUUUGGAUUAUGCCUUGGCUUCCAAUGGGCCGGGAAAAAUUGAGGUAUUACAAUAGCAAUCAAAAACAGCAAGAAAUCAAAAGAGGUGAUUUACUCUUUUUUUUUCAAAAGCUUAUCAUAGCAUUUCGUUUUUUUUUCUUGAUUGUUCUUCUAUUUCUUUUUAUUUCUUCAUUUACAAAGAAGAAAAUAAUAAAGGAAGAAGAUAAAGGGG
RNAcentral lists this long non-coding RNA (1097 nucleotides) under Gossypium barbadense (sea-island cotton). RNAcentral's name for it is "long non-coding RNA (GBAR_LNC002869)". Lineage: Eukaryota; Viridiplantae; Streptophyta; Magnoliopsida; Malvales; Malvaceae. The record is from RNAcentral.